CUGCCGCCGGACCCAUCCAGUCAGAAAAUUAUAGUAAUCCUUUGUCAAAUUACUGUUAUCCCUGCCCUCGGCCCAACAACUUAUUGCCUGUUCCAAUGGGUAUUUUAGUCAGUAACAGAUCCUCCAUUAUUUUUCUCUCUCCUAAAUCUACUUCGUGUGAGAGACUGUAGCGGUUAUUUGCUGUCAGCAACCGCAUAGCCAACGAUGCACUCGUCGAAAUUACGCCGGAAAGUCACCACCACCGCCGCCACACCCGAUGCCGACAAGCUCGACCAGGUCCUCCUCUCCGCCGCCGUCUCCAACGGCGAAGAGUUGGCCCCCUUCGUCCGCAAAGCCUUCGCCUCCGGCAAGCCCGACACUGUCCUCCACCACCUCCGCCACUUCUCCAAAUCCAAAGAGUCCGAGAUCGAGGAAGUCUGUAAAGCUCACUACCAAGACUUCAUCAUGGCCGUCGAUGACCUCCGGUCUCUCCUCUCCGACGUCGAUUCCCUCAAAUCUUCUCUCUCCAAUUCCACCUCUAUGCUUCACUCCGUCGCUGCUCCUCUCUUGUCCUCUCUCGACUCCUUCAUCGAGGCUCGGGCCGAGUACCGCAACGUCUCUCUCGCAAUCGACUCGGUUCGAACCUGCGUUCAAUUGAUCGAGCUUUGUUCGCGAGCCAAUGUUCAUCUCUCUGAGAAUGAUUUCUACAUGGCGUUGAAAUGUGUGGACACAAUCGAGACUGAGUUUCUCGACAAAACGCCAUCGUCUACGCUCCGGAGAAUGCUGGAGAAGCAGAUUCCGGCGAUUCGGUCGCACAUCGAACGCCGAGUCAGCAAGGAAUUCGGUGAUUGGCUCGUUGAGGUUCGUAUAGUGAGUCGUAAUUUAGGCCAACUCGCUAUCGGACAAGCCUCGGCUGCGAGGCAGAGAGAAGAAGAGCUGCGUAUGAAGCAGAGGCAAGCCGAGGAACAGAGUCGACUCAGUUUGAGAGACUGUGUUUAUGCUUUGGAAGAAGAAGACGACGACGUACUGAGUGGAAUCGGUGAGGAAGGUAAGGAUGGUUAUAGUAAUAGUGGGAAUGGGAUGUUAGGGUUUGAUUUGACUCCACUCUAUCGAGCGUAUCAUAUACACAAGACGCUAGGGCUUGAAGAUCGAUUCAAAAAGUAUUAUUUCGAGAACAGAAAACUUCAAUUGACUUCGGACUUUCAGGUAUCUUCAAUGACACCUUUUCUUGAAUCUCAUCAGACUUUUUUUGCCCAAAUUGCUGGUUUCUUUAUAGUUGAAGAUCGAAUUUUGAGGACUGGUGGACAAUUGAUAUCUAAAAUGGAAGUAGAAAAUUUGUGGGAUGCUGCUGUGAGUAAAAUGUGUUCUGUAUUAGAAGACCAAUUUUCUAGGAUGCAAACAGCAAAUCAUUUGUUGUUGAUAAAGGACUACGUGAGUUUGCUCGGAGUGACUUUGCGUCGGUAUGGAUACCCUAUUGAUGCUUUGCUUGAUGUAUUGAGCAAGCACAGAGACAAGUACCAUGAGCUAUUGUUGUCUGAUUGUCGCAAACAGAUUGCAGAAGCACUUGCUGCUGAUAAGUUUGAGCAGAUGUUGAUGAAGAAAGAAUAUGAGUAUUCGAUGAAUGUGCUUUCAUUUCAGAUACAAACUUCUGAUAUUGUACCUGCAUUUCCAUAUGUUGCACCAUUUUCUUCUACAGCGCCUGAUUGUUGUCGAAUAGUACGGUCCUUUAUUGAGGAUUCGGUGAGUUUUAUGGCCUACAGUGGGCAGCUUGAUUUCUAUGAUGUUGUGAAGAAGUAUUUGGACCGGCUUCUGACUGAGGUGUUGGAUGGAGCAUUGUUGAAACUUAUUAAUACUUCCAUUCAUGGAGUCUCUCAAGGAAUGCAAGCAGCAGCAAAUAUGGCUGUAUUGGAGCGUGCUUGUGGUUUCUUCUUUCGUCAUGCAGCACAGCUUUCAGGUGUUCCUUUGAGAAUGGUGGAGAGGAGUAGGAGGCAGUUUCCGCUGAGCAAAGCCCGUGAUGCCGCUGAAGAGAUGCUUUCUGGGUUGCUUAAACAGAAAAUUGAUGGGUUCUUGACACUGAUUGAGAAUGUGAACUGGAUCGCAGAUGACCCUUCUCAAAAUGGGAAUGAAUAUGUGAAUGAAGUAAUUAUAUAUUUGGAAACUCUGGUUUCCAGUGCUCAGCAGAUAUUGCCAGUUCAGGUUCUUAAAAGAGUUUUACUAGAUGUUCUUUCUCACAUAUCAGAGAUGAUUGUUGGGGCUUUACUUGGGGAAUCAGUUAAGAGGUUUAGCAUAAAUGCUAUCAUGGGUAUUGAUGUUGAUAUUCGGUUGUUGGAAUCAUUUGCGGAAAAUCAGGCUUCUCUUUUGUCAGAUGCAGAUGCGAAUCAGUUGAAAACUGCUCUUGCAGAGGCAAGGCAAUUGAUUAAUUUGCUCUUGAGCAAUCAUCCAGAAAAUUUCUUAAAUCCAGUAAUCAGGGAAAGAAGUUAUAAUGCUUUGGAUUACAGGAAAGUAGUCAUUAUAUCGGAAAAAUUAAGGGAUCAGUCGGAUCGGUUAUUUGGAACCUUUGGAUCUAGGGGAUACAAGCCGAACCCAAAAAAGAAGUCUCUAGAUGCAUUGGUAAAAAAACUCAAGGAUGUGAACUGAUUAUAUGCAUUCCUGUACGCAUACCCAUUCCUGUAUAUCUUAUAUAGGCCAAGUGCAAUGCUAUCUUGAUGCCCACAAACUCAGUGAAAUUCCUUCCCCUCUUUUAUUUUCUCCUCCUACUGCCUGCCAUAUCCCUAGUUUCGUCUAGCGUGGGAUCCAACUGAAUCUCAACCAAUUCUCCUUGAUAAAGAAAGGCAAGUCACAGGUUCGGACUUUUAACUUCCUAGGCCAUGAUCAUGUGAGAUUUUCAUAUUGCAUAUUGAAAUAUGAAUGAAUUUUGUUGUUUUUUCACCUCUUAUAUGAAUUUACACAAUAAAAAUACCUAUUCAAUUGGUUUAUUUCUAAAGAGAAGUAGAAUGGGACUCUCUCCGUGAAGUUUUUGAGUUUCAGGAAAAUGAUAUGUAGAUUUCAUACAAAGGCAUUCUCAUCAUGUUAGUAGUCAAAGCUCCACAAAUCUACUCUUUUUGGGUGUUUUGGAAAGAUAAUUAAAAGUUGAUUUUUUAACUUUUUUUGAUUUCUUUUUU
This is an RNA transcript of Camellia sinensis, 3140 nucleotides long. It is a transcript of the gene named exocyst complex component SEC15B, with no coding region annotated. Lineage: Eukaryota; Viridiplantae; Streptophyta; Magnoliopsida; Ericales; Theaceae. The record is from RefSeq and is a predicted model, not a curated record.